CCGAUUUUCCAUGCUAGUUGUACGAGUUUAGACUCGUAGCAGAUAGCUCAGUAACACGUGGCCAAACUACCCUAUGGAUCCGGACAACCUCGGGAAACUGAGGCUAAUCCGGAAUACGACUCUCAGCCUGGAAGUGGCGAGAGUCAGAAACGCUCCGGCGCCAUAGGAUGUGGCUGCGGCCGAUUAGGUAGACGGUGGGGUAACGGCCCACCGUGCCCAUAAUCGGUACGGGUUGUGAGAGCAAGAGCCCGGAGACGGUAUCUGAGACAAGAUACCGGGCCCUACGGGGCGCAGCAGGCGCGAAACCUUUACACUGCACGACAGUGCGAUAAGGGGACUCCGAGUGCGAGGGCAUAUAGUCCUCGCUUUUCACUACCGUAAGGAGGUAGUANAAUAAGUGCUGGGCAAGACCGGUGCCAGCCGCCGCGGUAAUACCGGCNGCACAAGUGAUGACCGCUCUUAUUGGGCCUAAAGCGUCC
Molecule: ribosomal RNA, 479 nt
Filed under: uncultured Halobacteria archaeon
Lineage: Archaea; Methanobacteriati; Methanobacteriota; Halobacteria
Description: bacterial SSU rRNA
Rfam family: Archaeal small subunit ribosomal RNA
Source: RNAcentral